AGCAGUAAGGGAAUCUUCCACAAUGGACGCAAGUCUGAUGGAGCAACGCCGCGUGAGUGAAGAAGGUCUUCGGAUCGUAAAACUCUGUUGUUAGAGAAGAACACGAGUGAGAGUAACUGUUCAUUCGAUGACGGUAUCUAACCAGCAAGUCACGGCUAACUACGUGCCAG
RNAcentral lists this ribosomal RNA (170 nucleotides) under uncultured bacterium. RNAcentral's name for it is "partial 16S rRNA". It matches the Rfam family "Bacterial small subunit ribosomal RNA", at positions 350 to 511 of the family's 1533-position model. The record is from RNAcentral.